RNAcentral lists this ribosomal RNA (465 nucleotides) under uncultured bacterium. RNAcentral describes it as "partial 16S ribosomal RNA". It matches the Rfam family "Bacterial small subunit ribosomal RNA", at positions 28 to 507 of the family's 1533-position model. The record is from RNAcentral.
GACGAACGCUGGCGGCGUGCUUAACACAUGCAAGUCGAACGGAAAGGCCCCCUUGUGGGGUACUCGAGUGGCGAACGGGUGAGUAACACGUGAGUAACCUACCCUUGACUUUGGGAUAACUUCAGGAAACUGGGGCUAAUACCGGAUAGGAGCUCCUGCUGCAUGGUGGGGGUUGGAAAGUUUCGGCGGUUGGGGAUGGACUCGCGGCUUAUCAGCUUGUUGGUGGGGUAGUGGCUCACCAAGGCUUUGACGGGUAGCCGGCCUGAGAGGGUGACCGGCCACAUUGGGACUGAGAUACGGCCCAGACUCCUACGGGAGGCAGCAGUGGGGAAUAUUGCACAAUGGGCGGAAGCCUGAUGCAGCAACGCCGCGUGCGGGAUGACGGCCUUCGGGUUGUAAACCGCUUUCGCUUGUGACGAAGCGUGAGUGACGGUAAUGGGUAAAGAAGCACCGGCUAACUACGUG